RNAcentral lists this long non-coding RNA (686 nucleotides) under Equus caballus (horse). Its description in RNAcentral is "lncRNA (ENSECAG00000055919.1)". Lineage: Eukaryota; Metazoa; Chordata; Mammalia; Perissodactyla; Equidae. The record is from RNAcentral.
GCUUAGGCAAGAGAAAGUCAUGGAAGACAUCCUGAGUCGAGAGUUGUGGGAUACGGACUUUUCCUUUCUCUGCUGUUCAUUCUCCUGUGACCUUGAGGAAAUCACUUCAUUCUGGUCCUCUGCCUGCUCACUUAGGUGGUCGGUUAUGUGAGUAGAUGGAGAAGAGAAAAUGACAAAACAAAGGAAGAAAAAGAAAGUUGUAUCUCUGUGCUUACCGAGUCCUUAUAGUAGAGGACAGCUUGGCUUAUACCAAGUUUCACUGACACAGUAAAGCAGGCAAAAGGAGCCAGCCUGGCACCAAACCAACCAUUCCCUCAGCUUCUCGCUUAUUCAAGAUGCUGCUCCUCAGGGUACCGGGACAGAGGGAAUGAUGUACGGUGGCAGCUCAUGGCCCUUGUCCUGAUGCUGCCAGGCUCCUCCCCAUGUGACACCCUUGUGACCAGAGUCAGCAUGCUCAUGGCAUUCCCUUGGACUCAGCCUAUUUUUCCCACCUCUGGGAUUGCAGCAUAAAUAUUUGGCAUUGGAAAGACUGGCAGCUUCAAGACAGAUCGGGAGGAUGUCCCAGAUGAGCACUGAACCAACAGUGCCAACAUGAGAGGAAAAAACCAUGCGAGCCCAGGGAGAUUUCUUCACUAUUUACCGAAUAGGGGGAAUUGUUUAUUUUCUACAUAUCUCCCAAAGAGUCC